RNAcentral lists this ribosomal RNA (501 nucleotides) under uncultured Bacteroidota bacterium. RNAcentral describes it as "bacterial SSU rRNA". It matches the Rfam family "Bacterial small subunit ribosomal RNA", at positions 9 to 506 of the family's 1533-position model. Lineage: Bacteria; Pseudomonadati; Bacteroidota. The record is from RNAcentral.
GAGUUUGAUCAUGGCUCAGGAUGAACGCUAGCGGCAGGCCUAAUACAUGCAAGUCGAACGGUAAAUAUUGUAGCAAUACAAUAUGAGAGUGACGUACGGGUGCGUAACACGUAUGCAACCUACCCUUUACAGGUGGAUAGCUCGGGGAAACCCGAAUUAACCCAUCGUAGUAUCAUUGAAUGGCAUCAUUUGAUGAUUAAAACUCAGGUGGUAAAGGAUGGGCAUGCGUCUGAUUAGUUAGUUGGCGGUGUAACGGACCACCAAGACGAUGAUCAGUAGGGGAACUGAGAGGUUGAUCCCCCACACUGGCACUGAGAUACGGGCCAGACUCCUACGGGAGGCAGCAGUAGGGAAUAUUGGUCAAUGGAUGCAAGUCUGAACCAGCCAUGCCGCGUGCAGGAAGAAGGCCUUAUGGGUUGUAAACUGCUUUUGUCAGGGGAUAAAAUGGGAGUGCGCUCCUAAUUGAAGGUACCUGGGCGAAUAAGCCACGGCUAACUACGU